Brassica napus (rape) is the source of this 615-nucleotide long non-coding RNA. RefSeq lists it as uncharacterized. Lineage: Eukaryota; Viridiplantae; Streptophyta; Magnoliopsida; Brassicales; Brassicaceae. The transcript has 2 exons. The record is from RefSeq and is a predicted model, not a curated record.
CCUCUGUUUUCUCUCUCUUCCACAGCCUUUAAUUACAAAUAAACUGAUCGUUAACAACAUUAUUCAUCGAAAAGGAAGAGUAAUUUGUAGGAAAGGAGCAACCUUUACGGGGUCUGUGGCACCCAUUUGGCGGGUUUUGAGGUGACGUCACUUCCCGGCGACGGCGGUCGUCUCUCUUGUAUAAAAGAAUGUUUUGCAAAAAGUCUUCUUCAUACAAAUCGGAUUACGUUAUUAUUUGUGUGAAUCCAACCAGAGAUUAUGCCAUGUGCGUCAGUGCGUGAGGGGCAAUUUCCAUAGAAGUCUGCGUUUGUUUUUUAUGUUGGUUGUUGGUCAGUGCAUGUUGUUGUAAGAGAAAAACACACGUGAAGAAUGGUGGAGAAGGAGAUCGUUAUCUUGUGCGUUGACGUGUAAGCUUCAACAAUGAAAAAUGAAGCGACGCGUCUGCGGUUUGAUAGGAAACUAACGGUUGCGAUUUGUUGUUUCAUGGAGACUGAGUUCCGUAUCACAACUUUGUUGUUUCCUGCUAUAUAUAUAUUAUUCUCCAAACAUCAAUACAUCAUUGUAUAUUUUGUAUGUUAGUAGUCAUUAUUAAAUCUAAGUCGUUUUCUAAAACCA